Molecule: ribosomal RNA, 292 nt
Filed under: uncultured bacterium
Lineage: Bacteria
Description: partial 16S ribosomal RNA
Rfam family: Bacterial small subunit ribosomal RNA
Source: RNAcentral
GUGCCAGCAGCCGCGGUAAUACAGAGGGUGCGAGCGUUAAUCGGAAUUACUGGGCGUAAAGGGUGCGUAGGUGGUUUUGUAAGUCAGAUGUGAAAUUCCCGGGCUUAACCUGGGGACUGCGUCUGAUACUGCGAAGCUAGAGUACUGUAGAGGAAAGUGGAAUUUCCGGUGUAGCAGUGAAAUGCGUAGAUAUCGGAAGGAACAUCAGUGGCGAAGGCGACUUUCUGGACAGAUACUGACACUGAGGCACGAAAGCGUGGGGAGCAAACAGGAUUAGAAACCCUGGUAGUCC